UGGAGGAGUAGCGAAGUGGCUAAACGCGGCGGUCUGUAAAACCGCUCUCUCUGAGUUCGGCGGUUCGAAUCCACCCUCCUCCAU
Molecule: transfer RNA, 84 nt
Filed under: Lactobacillus acidophilus
Lineage: Bacteria; Bacillati; Bacillota; Bacilli; Lactobacillales; Lactobacillaceae
Also listed under: 10 other names
Description: tRNA-Tyr(gta)
Rfam family: tRNA
About the family: Transfer RNA (tRNA) molecules are approximately 80 nucleotides in length. Their secondary structure includes four short double-helical elements and three loops (D, anti-codon, and T loops).
Source: RNAcentral